GAUGAACGCUGGCGGCGUGCCUAAUUCAUGCAAGUCGAGCGAACAGACGAGGAGCUUGCUCCUCUGACGUUAGCGGCGGACGGGUGAGUAACACGUGGAUAACCUACCUAUAAGACUGGGAUAACUUCGGGAAACCGGAGCUAAUACCGGAUAAUAUAUUGAACCGCAUGGUUCAAUAGUGAAAGACGGUUUUGCUGUCACUUAUAGAUGGAUUCGCGCCGCAUUAGCUAGUUGGUAAGGUAACGGCUUACCAAGGCAACGAUGCGUAGCCGACCUGAGAGGGUGAUCGGCCACACUGGAACUGAGACACGGUCCAGACUCCUACGGGAGGCAGCAGUAGGGAAUCUUCCGCAAUGGGCGAAAGCUUGACGGAGCAACGCCGCGUGAGUGAUGAAGGUCUUCGGAUCGUAAAACUCUGUUAUUAGGGAAGAACAAAUGUGUAAGUAACUAUGCACGUCUUGACGGUACCUAAUCAGAAAGCCACGGCUAACUACGUG
RNAcentral lists this ribosomal RNA (497 nucleotides) under uncultured bacterium. Its description in RNAcentral is "partial 16S ribosomal RNA". It matches the Rfam family "Bacterial small subunit ribosomal RNA", at positions 28 to 507 of the family's 1533-position model. The record is from RNAcentral.